ACGGGUGCGUAACGCGUAUGCAACCUACCUACAUCAGGGGGAUAGCCCUAGGAAACUGGGAUUAACACCGCAUAAUACUAGAUACGGCAUCGUAAUUAGUUGAAAUAUUUAUAGGAUGUAGAUGGGCAUGCGUAGGAUUAGCUAGUUGGUAAGGUAACGGCUUACCAAGGCUACGAUCCUUAGGGGCUCUGAGAGGAGUAUCCCCCACACUGACACUGAGAUACGGGCCAGACUCCUACGGGAGGCAGCAGUAGGGAAUAUUGGGCAAUGGAGGCAACUCUGACCCAGCCAUGCCGCGUGCAGGAAGACGGUCCUCUGGAUUGUAAACUGCUUUUGAAUGGGAGGAAUGUGUGGCUUGCGAGCUAUAAUGACGGUACCAUUAGAAUAAGCCACGGCUAACUACGUGCCAGCAGCCGCGGUAAUACGUAGGUGGCGAGCGUUAUCCGGAUUUAUUGGGUUUAAAGGGUGCGUAGGCGGCUUAAUAAGUCGGUGGUUAAAAGUAGCAGCUUAACUGUUUUACAUGCCAUCGAUACUGUUGAGCUUGAGAUAUUUGGAGGCAGCUAGAAUUUCCGGUGUAGCGGUGAAAUGCAUAGAUACCGGAAGGAAUACCAAUUGCGAAGGCAGGUUGCUACGAAUAAACUGACGCUGAUGCACGAAAGCGUGGGGAUCAAACAGGAUUAGAUACCCUGGUAGUCCACGCCGUAAACGAUGAUUACUAGUUGUUGGGGUUUAAGCCUCAGUGACCAAGGGGAAACCGAUAAGUAAUCCACCUGGGGAGUACGCCGGCAACGGUGAAACUCAAAGGAAUUGACGGGGG
Molecule: ribosomal RNA, 817 nt
Filed under: uncultured Bacteroidota bacterium
Lineage: Bacteria; Pseudomonadati; Bacteroidota
Description: bacterial SSU rRNA
Rfam family: Bacterial small subunit ribosomal RNA
Source: RNAcentral